Lytechinus pictus (painted urchin) is the source of this 3144-nucleotide long non-coding RNA. RefSeq lists it as uncharacterized. The record is from RefSeq and is a predicted model, not a curated record. The transcript is spliced from 3 exons. Lineage: Eukaryota; Metazoa; Echinodermata; Echinoidea; Temnopleuroida; Toxopneustidae.
GCAGUCGCAACCAUUUAAUUUGAAAAAGGAAUGCUCCCGUUUUUCGCCGUUAAAUGUUGCAGCCUAAUUUUGGAUCGAGAAUUAAGUGCGACGAAGAUGGCCGUUAAUAAUAGUUCUACUACUUUAAGAACACGAUUCAGAUUUGGAUAACGACUUCGAAGGCAUUCGCAGGAGACCAAACAGAGAAAGAGAGGGAGACACAAAACCACCUGUCUCGGUGUCACACAUGAGGAGUUGAGGAGGAGAUGAAGUCAGUGAAUAUGACCUGGCCUGGGGGAGUUUCCAGAAGAAGGCCCAGAAUCGCUGGAUGCCAGGAGUGGAGAUCCUUCGUUGCUGCCCUACAUGAUAGGCGGCAUCGGGCAGUAGAUGCUGUAAUUUGAAACGGAAGGUGUCCUGCCAAUAAAUUUUCAUCCCACCUGAACUGCCUUGCCUGCCUGCACCCAGUCAUCUGUUCCUGAGCAUUUUCAUUUUCCUCUAUUUUUCAUCAUCGUUUGUUUCGGCCUGUAUGAAGUGAAUUUCACAUUGAUUGGUGGAGCUGCUAAGUUGGCAUUACAGGGCCACGCCGGGGUAUGAUCCUUUGGGUUGAACAUCAUGACUGCUAGUUGGUCGGCAAAGGUGAUGGGAUCGAUCAAUGUCACAUGGAGUAAGAUCGAUACCAAUCUGCUUUGCUACAUUUCGAACAAUCUCAUACGGAUACGGAUAUUAUUGCGACAGGAGUACUGCUCGAUGUGGUCAAGCCUAUUUGACAAAGCAUUAUGGUGUUAGUCAUGUUAUCAGAAACCGAUUUUUCAAAAUCACGGAGUUGCUUCAAUUAAGUAUCGAUAGAUAUUUCAAGAACGUGUAGACUAGUGAGCUUUUCAUCAAGAAUUUCACGCAAUUUAUUUUCGCGCUUAUCCAUGUCAUCAUUGAGUUUUUGUCUCUCGCGUUCCAUUGCCACGGCCACCGCUCUUUGAACGACUGUAUCAAUAUGAUCUAGGUAUGCUGGGCUUUGUUUAGAUCCAGUUAAUGAUGAAGCAGAGGAUUGUGUACAUGCGUUAGCCGAGUGCAAGCGGCCUCUUGAUCUGGUGGAUAUCUUAGACAUGUUAGAGAUUACGUAAUGAUAUAAUUGAAAAGUGGGAUGGGCUGUGCAUCUGCCAACUCACCAGUCAACCAAUUAGAGACGGCCUUCCAAAGUGACACAGCACGAAAAUAUCAAUAUGGGACUGGUCUAGUCAACACAUAGAUCCUGAAAAAACCAUGGAGACCGCAGACGCAAAAUGAAUUCCAUACAUAAAGAUAUGAUGCACAAUCUCCAGUGGGUUCAAAACACUGAACACAUGCUAUGCUGAUACACAGACUAUCAUAAGAACUUUAUCAAGCUAAGGAAAUCUGGUAUGAAAUCUCUCAGCUCACAUAAAAAGCCUACGUAGCUACAUGUAGGGAAGAAAAUGCGUAAUUGCUGAGAAAUGAGCAAAAUAAGCAUGUAAUUCUAUCAAAUGUCAGGUAUUUUUCUAAUCGAUUAUAAUACACUGUCCCACAUAUGCUUUUCUGUGUUUACAGCGAUCGUCAGAAUUAUCGAUUUUAAGUUUAAAAAUUAAUGAUUUUACAAAGAUACAAGUUUACAUUAAUGUACCAGAUGUAGAUUAUGUACAAUAUAUUGACAAUUAACUUUGAUUUUAUAGAUUUUCUCAAGAAAUAAUUGUUUGCUGCAACUACUGUCUUUUCCUUCUAAGUGAUAGUGUAAUACAACAGUUCCACAAACUAUUUUCAUCAGACUUAUUGAUGCAUGAUUCUUUCACCCAAAUGCAAGCUUCCAUAAAUCCUGAAAACUUUGCAACUCAGGUAUUUUUUUUUUUACAUACAGUAUAUUUUUUCCUACAUUACAUAGUUGCCUUAAGUUAAUAGCGCACCUCUAGUAGUAACUAUCUUAAAAUGAGUUCGAACAGAAUCCAACAGAAUUACCAGCAAAGUGUAUGUAUAUAUAAAAGAUGUGUGCCAAAAAGCUUGGGAAGAAAAUGUGUAAUUGCUGAGAAAUGAGCAAAAUAAGCAUGUAAUUCUAUCAAAUGUCGGGUAUUUUUAAAAUCAAUCAUAAUACACUGUCCUGUCCCACAUAUGCUUUUCUGUGUUAGUGAUCAUCAGAAUUAUUGAUUUUAAGAUCAAAAUUCAUGAUUUUACAAAGAUACAAGUUUACAUUAAUUUACCAGGGCCCCGUCUUACAAAGAGUUAUGAUUGAUCCGAUCAAUCGCAACUAUGGACGGUCAGCAACGUUAACAUCUAUUAAGCAUGUUCAAAAUAUUUUCUAGCUAUGAUGUAUGUUCAUGCAUUCAUUGUUUUCUCAAAAAUUCGCUGCGUUUCUCUUUGCAUACAAAGGACAUUGUGCAAAUUUUUCGUAGAAAAAAAUUAUGACACUGAUGGAUUUCCAUAGAGUUAUGAUUGAUCGGAUCAAUCGUAACUCUUUGUAAGACAGGGCCCAGGGGUCCGUUGCAGAAAGAGUUGCGCUUAAACGCAAGUCAAAAAAUCAAUCGCAAGUCCCAAAUGCGCGCUGUUGAUUGGUUGAAAAUCAAGUUGCGCAUGAUUUUUAGAGUUGCGAUUGAUUGCAACUCUUUCUGCAACGGGUCCCAGAUCUAGAUUAUGUACAAUAUUUUGACAAUUAACCUUAAUUUAAAAGACUUUCCGAAGAAAUAAUUGUUUGCUGCAACUACUGUCUUUUACCCCUGGCCCUAAGUGAUAGUGUAAUACAACCCAAACAUUUCAUAAGAAUUAAUGUACAUGUAUGAUUCUUUCACCCAAAUGCGAGCUUCCAUAAAUCCUGAAACUAUUCCAACUCGGGUAUUUUUUUUUUACAUACAGUAUAUUUUUACCUACAUUACAUAGUUGUCUAAAGUUGAAGGUAUAUUUAAUUACAAUUUCAACGAAAAAGCUUUAUUCUUGGAGAUCAUUAUGCCUCUGUUAUGUAUUAAUGUGUAUUUAUACAUGUACAAUUGUAUGUAUUGGUAUAACAAACAUUGUAAUUUCAUUCCUUUGACCCUAAUACUGCAUUUUCAUAGAAAAGUGUUUUUUUUUUCAAUCUAUUUAGAGUUUUCAACAUUUUGUAUUCCUUUUUUUUUUUGCUGGUGAUAUGUUAUGCAACUUUUAUUUAUUAAUAGAAUAUUUGCCACGAUUUCG